Molecule: long non-coding RNA, 862 nt
Filed under: Ictidomys tridecemlineatus (thirteen-lined ground squirrel)
Lineage: Eukaryota; Metazoa; Chordata; Mammalia; Rodentia; Sciuridae
Description: lncRNA (ENSSTOG00000034061.1)
Source: RNAcentral
AGGCAUCAUAAAUACUACCAUCCACCUCAAAAGGUGUUAGGACGUGCACCAGUGCUUUGCAAUCUUUACCUUGUUGGGUCUCUAUAAUGACUCUAUGAGAAAGGCAUUAUUAUCCUCAUCUUUUCAGAGGAGAGAAAACCAAGAUUCAGAGAUGGACUUGCUCCAGGAAGAGCUGGAGAUCAAAGGGCAGGAGCUGAACCAGCCGUGGUCAUCCUCUACUCCGCGUAGACAGCACAUUCAGGGGAUCUGUCACUAUUUUGUGGCUGAACUGGGGAACAAUCGAAGAACGUGGAAGAUAGAUGGGGUACUGGUUGGCCUACAUCCGGAACAGAGGGUUGUCCCCAUGGUUGUUCCCAGGUGUUCCUGGGUCCCUCCACUGUACUGUGUCUGCCAGAGGCUGCUGCUCCUCAUCUCAUGGGUCCUCCUCCUUAGCAGCUCAUCAUAUUCCAGAAGACUCUCUUCUGGAGGGCCUGGAGGUGAAUGGAUCUGCUCAAGGUGGCCAGUGGAACGUGAACGAGAGCCUACAGGAGUCCUUGUGCCGAGGCCCCCUCUGUGCUGUGCCAUCUACUCUGGCUUCCCUUUCCCUGCAUCUGCCACCUCCAAACAAUAUGGGCCACAGGUGCAGCUUGCCAAGGAAGGCGUGAAGCAGGGAGGAAUGGGAACCCUGGUGUCCCCUCUGAGCCAGCUCCAAUGGGCUGCCGAGGGCUGCAGGGCUGCGUUACGAUGGAUCCAGAGGCUAAGUGGCCUCCAUGGGGACGCGUCCCCUGACCACUCUACCUGGCACGAGCGGGCUGCUGGCCACCCACAAUGGAGCUUCAGCAAAAGGGUCCUUCUCUGGGGGUGGAGUUCAGAUGUGAUGUAG